Molecule: long non-coding RNA, 1064 nt
Organism: Hibiscus syriacus
Lineage: Eukaryota; Viridiplantae; Streptophyta; Magnoliopsida; Malvales; Malvaceae
Exons: 5
Source: RefSeq, a predicted model, not a curated record
UCACAUAGUGCCGCCGCUCCUCCCAUGGUCGUUUAUCGACGACCUCCUCUCGUCCACCGUAUCCUUGACGACCGAAGCACUAAAGAGGGAGAUGAACCAAACCCUCGUUUACCCCAAAAUCAUCUGAAAUGCGAUAGUUCCCCUAUUUUUAGGUUUCUUGUUCCGUGCUUAUAAAAAAACGGUGACAUAUUGCCACCAAAUUCGAAUGGCGCGAUUGGUGAGGGUAUGAUAGAUCAGCCGAAAACAGUGACGGUUCGACGGUGGUGGUUGGAUUAGGGUUUGGCUAGCGAAGAGAGUUAAUGUUGUGGGCUUAGGGUUUAGUUUGGAUAGGUUUGGGCCUAUUUAUUUUGUAACAUCGACUAUUGAAAUUUAAUAAUAUUUUGGUUUAACAAAAUAUUUUGGGCCUCGAAAUAAAAGCCCAGACGAAAUAUGGGUAUUACUAUUACAUGCCCGCUGAAACAACCAAUUGCUCUUCAUAAUGAUGUCUCAUGCCAAAAUGAUGAGGUUGCGUUGCAUGAAAAGGGGCUUAUCAUGUGUGAAUUUCCCAGCUCGCCUCAGUUAGUUGGGGUCGACAUAAGGGUAACAUCCGAGCUAGCCAACGACAUGUCAUUAGAAGGGUCGUUAGGGAUUCUAUGGAAGGUGAAGCAACAAAGGGGGUCAAUUUGGGAUUGAGCUUAUUAGACACAUAUCUUGAUAACAAUCUGUCUGAGGAAGCAGAAGCGGUGUGUGAGUGGCUUCAAUUCUAAAUGAUUUGAGUAUCCCCUGGUGUAUUGGAGGUGACUUUAAUGCAUUCCUUCAUCUCGAGGAAAAUAAAGGGUUUUCGCUGAAUUAUCACUCUUUGGCUAUUUUUAUAGAGUUCAUCCAUGAGGCUGAGUUAAUUGAUCUCCCCCUAUAUGGUGGUUCGUUCACUUGGAGUAAUAACAGGGGCCCUUCCACGUUUGUUCACCUUGAUAGGUUCCUCUUGUCACCAUCCUUCUUCCAAGCUUUUUCGUUAGUGUCGCAACGUUUAUCAGACGAAUCUAUUUCAGAUCAUCAUACCAUAGUAUUAUGUGAAGAAAACCACA